GUGUCACUCAUCCCUUGUCUCUCAGUCUCAUAGCGGGUGUAGCCAUUGUCACUAUUCUGAUUGCCUGCUUCAUAGCUUUCACCAGCUAGUUUGUAGCCAUUAUUGUAGUACUUGUUGGUGUAGCCUUUGUUGUUGUAGUUGUUUGUGUUGCCAUUGUUGCUGUAACCAUUCUCACUGUUCUGAUUGCCUGCUUCCUGGCUUUCACCAGCUAGUUUGUAGCCAUUAUUGUAGUACUUGUUGGUGUAGCCUUCGUUGUUGUAGUUGUUUGUGUUGCCAUUGUUGUUGUAGGUGUUGGUGUAGCCAUUCUCACUAUUCUGGUUGCCUACUUCAUAGCUUUCACCAGGCAGCUUGUAGCCAUUAUUGUAGUACUUGUUGGUGUAGCCGUUGUUGUUGUAGUUGUUGCUGUAGCCAUUCUCACUUUUCUGACUGCCUGCUUCAUAGCUUUCACCAGCUAGUUUGUGGCCAUUAUUGUGGUACUUUUUGGUGUAGCCAUUGUUGUUGUAGUUGUUUGUGUUGCCAUUGUUGUUGUAGCCAUUCUCAGUAUUUUGAUUGCCUGCUUCAUAGCUUUCACCAGCUAGUUUGUAGCCAUUAUUGUAGUACUUGUUGGUGUAGCCGUUGUUGUUUUGAUUACCUGUCUCAUAUCUAGCACUACCAAGUUUGUAGCCAUUGUUGUUGUUCUUGUUGUUGUAGUUGCUCCUCUCGUAACCAUUAUU
RNAcentral lists this long non-coding RNA (713 nucleotides) under Populus trichocarpa (black cottonwood). RNAcentral's name for it is "long non-coding RNA (PTRI_LNC004523)". Lineage: Eukaryota; Viridiplantae; Streptophyta; Magnoliopsida; Malpighiales; Salicaceae. The record is from RNAcentral.